AUUGGACGCUGGCGGCAUGCUUUACACAUGCAAGUCGAACGGUAACAGCACUUCGGUGGCUGACGAGUGGCGCACGGGUGAGUAAUACAUCGGAACGUGCCUAGUAGUGGGGGAUAACUACUCGAAAGAGUAGCUAAUACCGCAUGAGAUCUAAGGAUGAAAGCAGGGGACCUUCGGGCCUUGCGCUACUAGAGCGGCUGAUGGCAGAUUAGGUAGUUGGUGGGAUAAAAGCUUACCAAGCCGACGAUCUGUAGCUGGUCUGAGAGGACGACCAGCCACACUGGGACUGAGACACGGCCCAGACUCCUACGGGAGGCAGCAGUGGGGAAUUUUGGACAAUGGGCGCAAGCCUGAUCCAGCAAUGCCGCGUGCAGGAUGAAGGCCUUCGGGUUGUAAACUGCUUUUGUACGGAACGAAAAGCCCUCUUCUAAUACAGGAGGGUCAUGACGGUACCGUAAGAAUAAGCACCGGCUAACUACGUG
This 482-nucleotide ribosomal RNA is filed under the name uncultured bacterium. RNAcentral describes it as "partial 16S ribosomal RNA". It matches the Rfam family "Bacterial small subunit ribosomal RNA", at positions 30 to 507 of the family's 1533-position model. The record is from RNAcentral.